AUGCACGCUGGCGGCGUGCCUCAUCCCUGCAAGUCGCGCGAACAGACGAGGAGCUUGCUCCUCUGACGUUAGCGGCGGACGGGCGAGUAACACGUGGAUAACCUACCUAUAAGACUGGGAUAACUUCGGGAAACCGGAGCUAAUACCGGAUAAUAUAUUGAACCGCAUGGUUCAAUAGUGAAAGACGGUUUUGCUGUCACUUAUAGAUGGAUCCGCGCCGCAUUAGCUAGUUGGUAAGGUAACGGCUUACCAAGGCAACGAUGCGUAGCCGACCUGAGAGGGUGAUCGGCCACACUGGAACUGAGACACGGUCCAGACUCCUACGGGAGGCAGCAGUAGGGAAUCUUCCGCAAUGGGCGAAAGCUUGACGGAGCAACGCCGCGUGAGUGAUGAAGGUCUUCGGAUCGUAAAACUCUGUUAUUAGGGAAGAACAAAUGUGUAAGUAACUAUGCACGUCUUGACGGUACCUAAUCAGAAAGCCACGGCUAACUACGUG
Molecule: ribosomal RNA, 496 nt
Filed under: uncultured bacterium
Lineage: Bacteria
Description: partial 16S ribosomal RNA
Rfam family: Bacterial small subunit ribosomal RNA
Source: RNAcentral